Fukomys damarensis (Damara mole-rat) is the source of this 344-nucleotide long non-coding RNA. RefSeq lists it as uncharacterized. NCBI's taxonomy places the organism in Eukaryota, Metazoa, Chordata, Mammalia, Rodentia, Bathyergidae. The transcript has 3 exons. The record is from RefSeq and is a predicted model, not a curated record.
GCCAUCUCCUUGGUCUAGGAGCCAGCCAGACAAUGCACCUCUUGGAUGCCCAUCUUCAUUGUCAUUCUGCCCGAGCUCUGCCUGUUCCCCUGCCUCUCCAAAGGUCAACCAGAGGUCUUCACUGCUCCACUAAUGGGUGUACAAGCAGCCUGCACGCGGCGCCUGCUGUGACAGAGACACAGUUGGUAUACAGGAAUCCAAAUGGGAAUGUCUCUCCUGAAAUACAUCUUCCAUGAACAGUGUGGCAGAAAGUAGUAGGAAGAGGCUGAGGAAGAAGACAAGGUAACUCUGGAGACCACAAUAUCUUAGUGUGAGAAACAAGAAAAGGAAGGAAGGAAGGUGGG